RNAcentral lists this ribosomal RNA (735 nucleotides) under uncultured bacterium. RNAcentral's name for it is "bacterial SSU rRNA". It matches the Rfam family "Bacterial small subunit ribosomal RNA", at positions 74 to 830 of the family's 1533-position model. The record is from RNAcentral.
GGGGAGCAAUCCCUGAGUAAAGUGGCGUACGGGUGAGUAACACGUGGGUAAUCUACCUUUUGGUGGGGAAUAACGCUGGGAAACCGGCGCUAACACCGCAUGAGCUAGCCACUUAAGGUGGUUAGGAAAAGAGAAAUCUGCCGAAAGAGGAGCCCGCGGCUGAUUAGCUAGUUGGUGAGGUAAAGGCUCACCAAGGCAAUGAUCGGUAGCCGGCCUGAGAGGGCACACGGCCACACUGGCACUGAAACACGGGCCAGACUCCUACGGGAGGCAGCAGUGGGGAAUCUUGCACAAUGGGGGAAACCCUGAUGCAGCGACGCCGCGUGAGUGAUGAAGCCCUUCGGGGUGUAAAGCUCUUUCGGCAGGGACGAUAAUGACGGUACCUGAAGAAGAAGCUGCGGCUAACUACGUGCCAGCAGCCGCGGUAAUACGUAGGCAGCGAGCGUUGUUCGGAGUUACUGGGCGUAAAGAGUGCGUAGGCGGUUUUCUAAGUUUGGUGUGAAAUCUCCCGGCUCAACUGGGAGGGUGCGCCGAAGACUGGAAGGCUAGAGUGUGGGAGAGGUAAGCGGAAUUCCUGGUGUAGCGGUGAAAUGCGUAGAUAUCAGGAGGAACACCUGCGGUGUAGACGGCUUACUGGACCAUGACUGACGCUGAGGCACGAAAGCGUGGGUAGCAAACAGGAUUAGAUACCCUGGUAGUCCACGCCCUAAACGAUGCAUACUUGGUGUGGGUAGU